GUGAGACUGUGAAUUCUUCAAAAGCAGGUACUGUGUUUAAUGAAGUGUGCCCAGGACUUUGCUCAGUGACUGGAUGACACAGUAGGAGUAACAAGAAAGUUCACAUGGGUGAACCGUGGUAGGUGGACAUCGUCUCUCUCACCUCUUCCCAAAUCAAGGAUGAAGUACAUCUUCAUAAAUCCUCAUGUGAAUUAUUUUGCUACCUCUAGAAGCAUUUUCUAAAACAAGGUGCAGCAAUCAGUUGAGUGAAUUUGUCACCAGAGCUUAUGUUUUCUGAAAGAACCCUAUCCUCAGGCAGUUGUUCCUAAGAGAUUCCACAAAUAUGUCAGCGCUGGAAAUGAUCCUUUGGCUUUGAACUAUGUGAAGACUGCAGAAGGACUGGUUGGUCAGGCUGCAUUUGUAUCCUGGGUCCACAAGACAUCGUUUCCUUAAAACCAAUCCCCCUGAUUUUGCUAAGUGUCUGCAAGCCUAAUAUUUCAUGGAUGUUUGACAAGGACCCCGUCUUUAGCUGAACUAAGGAGAAAGUCCUGCAACACACACAUGGAGCUCAGCAAACGGAGGAUGUAGUAGACGCACAUGAAAUUUGGUGCUGUGACUCGGAUUGGGGGACCUCCCUUGGGAGAUCAAUCCCCUGUCCUCCUGUUCUUUGCUCCAUGGGAAAGAUCCACCUACGACCUCAGGUCCUCAGACCGACCAGCCCAAGGAACAUCUCACCAAUUUUAAAUCGGGACCCCACUGGAAAUCGGACUGUUCAACUCACCUGGCAGCCACUCACAGAGCCCGUGGAACUCUGGCCCAAGGCUCUCUGACUCCUUCUCGGCUUAGCGGCUAAAGACUGACACUGCCCGAUCGCCUCGGAAGCCCCGUAGACCAUCACGGACGCCGAGCUUUAGGUAACUCUCACAGUGGAGGAUGAAGAAACUGAGGUCCAGAGAAGUUAAACGACCUUCCUAAGAUUACACAGCUUAGUAAGUGGCAGAACCACAGCUGGAAGCCAGGUCCUUCCUCACGCAAGUCCUGGCUCAUUCAUUCCUCUUCCAAAGACUUGCUGAGCACCUUCUAGGUGCCAGAUGCGGUGCUGGCUCCUGGGGACAUGGGAGUGAACAGGCCAGGCGUGGCCCUGAACCAUCAAAUAGACAACCACAGAAAUAACAACAACAAAGACAAAACCGGGCCCUUCCACACAGUAGCUGGAACACAAAGGAAGAUCAGCCAAGCCUCAACAUAAUCUCAUAAAAAUUCUUCAAAUAUCCCAUUGUUAUGGAUUCAUACAUCAGGAAAGCAGAUGCCAAGAACCUGAACACCUUCUACUGGUAACAUAUAUUUUGGCGAGCCAGCCUGGAGACAAGACCACUAUGGGCAACUUCCUGUCUAUUCUACCUGGUGUCACUGUGGACAACUUCCUAUCUAUUCCACCCGAUUCACCGCUUGGCUACAUCCUCCACCAUUGGGAUGAAUUUGACCCUAACAAUCUAAAGAAAAGGCAUAUGAUUUUUUACUGCAAUAUUGUUUGACACAAUUAUGAGCUGCCCAAUCCGGAACAAUGGGCAGUCAAUGGUAGCCUUAAUUAUGAUACCAUCCUGUAUCUAGACCUAUUUUACAAGAGGCAGGGCAAAUGGUCAGAAGUCCCACAUAUACAGGCCUACAUGACCCUAUACGAAGACCUAAGAAUCUAGGAAACUCCCAGAACCCAUCCCCCGAAGGAAAGUUCUGGGGCAGAACUAGAUAUUAUAGAUGAACCCCCUUUUACAAGGGAUACCUGUCUCUCAGAGUGAGCAGUGACUGUCCCCAUAUAACCCCUCACCAAGUGCUCCUGAGGCUGAAACCCAGGGGCAAACAUGGGGAACCCUACUAAGUCCCCCUCACACUUGGAGGGGAACACUGUAUUCAACUCUCUAUCCAGCCCUGCUACUCUCAGAGAAAUAGCAGGGGCUGAGGGGCCAAUCCUAGUGUGGGUCCCCUUCUCUAUGAUUGAUAUACAACAAUGUAAGGAAAAGCUAGGAAGCUAUUCUGAGGAUUCCGGGAAGUUUGCAGAUGGGUUCCAAACUUUGACCUUAGCCUUUGAUCUCUCAUGGAGAGACGUUCAAUUCACUCUAGCAACCUGUUGCACCUCCUCGGAAAAGGAACGAAUCUUUGAGGCUGCCCUCCGAGAAGUGGACGAAUUAUUCACCCAAAACCGUAAAGGCAGUCACCCAGGCCCAGCCACAGUUCCCACUACGCAUCCUAAUUGAGACCAAGACACCCCCGCAGGAAGGAACAACUGGGCUAAAUUUCUUGAGGCUCUUGGAGGAAUGAGAAAGGGAAUAACUAAGGCAGUAAAUUAUGAUAAAGUAAGGCAGAUUACACAAGGCAGGGAGGAAAACCCAGCUGUGUUUUACGGCAGGCUGCGGGAAGCCUUUAAAAAAUAUAUACUAAUUUGGUCCCUUCCUCUCCUGAAGGCAAGUUAUUAAUGGCACAACGUUUCAUUAGCCAAUCCACACCAGACAUUAGACGUAAGCUCCAAAAGCUACACAUGGGGCCACAAACUAACCAAAAUCAGCUUCUUGGUACUGCCUUCAUGGUGUAUAACAAUCGUGACCUGGAGGAAGGAGAAGGGAAACAGAGUAAAGAAAAACGGCAAGCCAAAAUUAUGUUAGCCAUCACUGGUGAUGCCCUAAAUGCACAAAGAUUGUCCAAGGGAAACUCAAAGGGCCAUAAGGAUAAUGCCAGCAAAGGCUCUUGCUUCAAAUGCAAUAAAAGUGCGAUUGGGCACAGGAAUCCACUAAGCCCCCGCCAGUCCCCUGCCGUCAAUGUAAAAGCACCAGUUGUGGCUCCUGGCCCUGGAGAAUUGACUGUCCCUGCUCCCACCAAGGGGCUCAGUCAGUCAAAACUCUGGCAGUGCACAAGGAGGAAUCAGAUGAAGACUGAAGGGGCCUGGGGCCUUCCUCACUGCCCCGUCUAGGAACAUUGUAAUUACUACUGAGGAACCCUGGGUAACUCUGGACAUCAUGGCCACCCAAAUUCAGUUUUUAUGUGAUACCAAGGUGAAUUAUUCUGUACAACUGCUUAUGCAGGAAAACUUUCCUCCCGGUCCAUGAGUGAUAUUGGAUGGAAGGGAAGCCACAAACAAGAUUCUUACUCCUCCUUUGGUUUGUCAAUUUGAGAAACAAAUCUUCCAACAGGAAUUUUUAGUAGUACCAAGCUGCCCAAUUCCCCUGUGGGAAAGAGAUAUUAUGGUGAAAAUAGUGACACUACUGCAAUUUAAGCAAUAUUAGCAGGUGAAACUGCUAAUAGUAAGAAAUAAGGCAAUGUCCCAGACCAUGUCAAUAAACAGGUUAACCCACUGGCAUGGUAUACUGGAAACCCAGGGAAGGCUAAAACAGCAGUGCCAGUCAAAAUACAGCUUAAAGACCCCAGCCAUUUUCCCAAUGGAAAACAAUACCCAGUUGAACAGGAAGCAAGCAAAGGUCUAGCUCCCAUAGUUGAGAUAUUACUUACCCAUGGACUCUUAAAACCCUGCAAUUCUCCCUGCAAUACCCCCAUCUUACCUGUUCUCAAGCCUGGGGGGAAUACCAGCUAGUACAGAACCUCAGAAUAAUGAAUGAGGCUGUUAUCCCCGUCCACCCAUUGGUGGCAGAUCCAUAUGCCCUCCUGGCUCAGGUGCCAGGGCAUGCAAAAUGGUUCUCAGUCCUAGACCUUUCUUCUCCAUUCCUCUGGCCCCGAGCCCCCCAGUACCUUUUUGCUUUCGAAUGGGAAAAUCCUAAUACCAGAUAAAAACAAUACACUUGGACAGUGCUUCCUCAGGGCUUUCGGGAUAGCCCCCACUUCUUUGCCUGAGCAUUAGAGCGGGAUCUGAGGGAUUUCAAGUUAGAAAAUGGAGGUAUUCUUCAGUAUGGGGAUGACCUUGUGUGUAGCCCAACCUAGGAGGUUUCUGACCAAAAUACUAUAAAAACUUUGAAUUUCCUGGCAGACAGAGGAUACAAAGUGUCCAAAAAGAAGGCUCAGAUUACCCUCCAAUGGGUCCACUAUUUAGGAUAUGUCUUAACACCCGGAACCCGGCAAAUAUCCCCAGAAGGAGUGCAAGCUAUAUGUGGUUUGGCCGCGUGCACCACCCCCAGCCCCCACCCUGACCCACCUCCAAGCAGCAGCUUUGUUCCUUUUUGGGGAUGGCCGGGCUUUGGAGAAUAUGAGUACCAAAUUUUGGGCUCAUAGCAAAGCCCCUAUAUGAAGCAACAAGGGGGCCUGAAAAUGAGCUAAUGGAAUGGACCCCGGAAAUGAGGAAAGCCUUUGCCAAGUUAAAACAGGUUCUCACCCAGGCUCCUGCUCUUGGUAUCCCAGACCUAAUUAAGGCCUUCUCCUUGUAUGUAGCAGAGAAGAGGGGCAUAGCUGUGGGAGUGCUAGCCCAGAAAUUAGGAUCAGAACCCAGACCAACCGCCUACUUCUCAAAAAAGUUGGACGGAGUGGCCUCAGGAUGGCCAAGUUGCCUGCGGGCAAUAGCAGCCACUGCUGUUAGUGGAGGAAGCCACUAAAAUCACCCUAGGGCAACCACUGGAAGUUCUAACGCUCCAUCAGGUAAAGUUAGUCUUAGAAAUAAAGGGACACAUCUGGAUGACAGGGGAAAUGUUAACUAAAUACCAGCCCAUGCUCCUAGACAAUCCAGAUAUAACUCUUAAAACCUGCAACACUUUAAAUCCAGCUUCAUUGCUGCCCACAGGCCCAAUAAUUGAUCAUUCCUGUGAGCAGGUCAUUGCACAUACAUAUGUUAGCCAGCCUGAUUUAAAAGAUGAGGCUCUCCCAGAUUCUGAAGCUGACCGGCUCACAGACGGCAGUAGUUCUUUGUCGAAUGGGGAGCACAGAGCUGGAUAUGCAGCAGUAAAUCAUGACACAAUUAUUGAAGCCCAGCCAGUGCCCCCUGGCACAUCAGCACAAAAGGCUAAAAUCAUUGAUCUUACUCAAGCAUUAAUGUUGGGACAAGGGAAAAAACUUAACAUCUAUACAGAUUCUAAAUAUGCAUUCCUUGUGGUUCAUGCUCAUACCGCCAUCAGGAAAGAAAGGGGAUUACUUACUAGCAAGCACUCCCCUAUAGAGCAUGGACCUGAAAUUCUGCAGCUAUUGAAGGCAAUACACCUGCCAAAGGCCAUAGCUAUCAUUCAUUGUAGGGGGCAUCAAAGGGACUUAACCCCUAUAGCACAAGGGAAUGGAAAGGCUGACGGAAGCCAAAGCAAAAGCCCUCAGCGUGCAAUCCCAACAGAUCCUAGCACUGCUUCCUUUCUACAAUUCCCCAGUAGAACCCAAAUACACACCACAGGAAGAACAGCUAAUAAAAAAAGCAAGGGAGACAAAAACAAGGAUCCUGGUGGCAUAUGGAGCCAAAAAUAUAUCUCCCUCAGGCAGCCCAGUGGAGAGUUAUAAAAGCCCUGCAUGACUCUUUCCAUGUGGGGAGGGAUGCGGCUCUGGCCAUGGUAAACAAGUUCUUUACUGGGUUUAACUCAGCUUCAAUGGCUAAGCAGGUCUGUCAAGCCUGCUCACUGUGUGCAUUUAACAAUCCAGGCAUCAAAAUGCCCCCUCUAAUAAAACCAGUCCAAAGGAGGGGAACUUAUCCAGGGGAAGACUGGCAGUUAGACGUCAUCCAUAUGCCAGCUUGCAGAGGAUACAAGCUUUUGUUAAUACUAAUAGAUACUUUUAGGUUGGGUCAAAGGUUACCCCAGAAAAGGCUAAUGAGGUUCUAAGGUCCUCUUAAAAGAAAUAAUUCCCCAGUUUGGGUUACCUCAGGGUCUCCAAAGUGAUAAUGGCUAAUCCUUUAUCUCCCAAAUAACUCAAGGGGUUGCUAAGGCUCUUGGAAUAAAAUACUAUUUACAUUCAGCCUGGAGGCCCCAAUCCUCUGGAAAAGUGGAAAGGGUUAACCAAACUCUAAAAUAAGCACUAGCUAAACUAUGUCAGGAAACAUCAGAAACUUGGGUUAGCUUAUUGCUCACAGCCCUUUUAAGAAUUUGUAAUACCCCUAGCUCAAAAAUUAACAGAAGCCCAUAUAAAAUGUUAUACAGAAGGCCAUUCUUAACUAAUGAUUUAAUUAUUGACCCAGAAAGAGUUGGUGUAAUUAAAUACCUAGUCAACCCAGAACAAUUCCAGCGGGUUUACAAGAGUUUGGAAUUCAAAGGCUCCUCACACUUGGAACUAACCAGCAACCCAAAAUCAGGCCAGGAGAUAGGGUACUUGUUAAAACAUGGAAUGAGGGAUCACCUGCCCAACAAUUACAACCCCAAUAGAAGGGACUUUUUUCAGUAAUACUGGCCACGUCUUCUGUGGUCAAAGUACUAGUAUUAGAUAGCUGGAUACAUCUUUCAAGGAUCAAACCAUCAAUACCAGAAGCUCCAGACCAGGAACCUGAAGUUCCCAUCAGCCAGUACACCUGUGAACCAGUGGAGGACCUGAAGUACCUGUUUAAAAGAUAGCCAAAAGAUAAGUAAAUGCCUACCAACUUUCUUUGGUGUCUUUGUUGCAUAGUUACUGUGGGCUGGAAAAUAGUAGCCAUUUUUAUCUUUGCAGUUUAAUUGCCUUCUUCCAAAUAGAUAAAAAUCACUUCCUUUGUAAUAAUUAAACAGAAUUUAAAAAAUACAUUUCUAUGACAAAUAUUCCUGAUGGCAUAAGUAUCCACCCCAAGGUUCCCAUUAAAUCUUUUAACCUAAAGUAUUUCCUCUCACCUAGAGAUCAUCGAGCUGUGUGACAAGGGUGCCAGCCACUCCAGGUGAAGACACCACCCCAGGCCAUCAAGGAUCUUCCCUACCUUCACUAAACAGAGCAGGGUGAAAGUUGUGUGAUCCCCAAUAGGUAGGGACUACACCCCAAGUCAGCAGGAAGCAGUUACAGAAGAAAGACCAUUGGUCCCUCUGCUUCCCAUAAAGAUUUAUGGGGAUCACAGCUUUCACGGGGGAGAUGAGGCAAGAGAAUAGGGCAUGCAGGCAGGGUACUUGAGGCCAAUCCACGCUGACUUCCUAGAACUGAAUUAAAUGAAAGCUCCUCAGCAAUGACAGGAAUGUGAAUGGCUUUGUAACUUCUUCCUCUCCAUUAAUGCUAUUUCCACUUUGUAACUUCACUUUCAUCCUCUCCAUUUACAUAGAUCACACACCAAGUAACAUCCUCUCCAUUUACAGUAGGGCGCAUUCCGAGUCAAUGACUCUGACUGCACUUCGUUCUCCUCAUUUACAUAGAACAUUCGCCAAGUAACCAAUGGGAAACCUCUAGAGUAUUGAAACUCCAGAAAAUUCCGUAAGUGGGGCUCUUGAGCGUCUACACUCGGGUCGCUCCCACACUGUGGCGUGUACUUUUAUUCUCAAUAAAUUCCCGCUUUUGCUUUCCUCGUUC
RNAcentral lists this long non-coding RNA (7341 nucleotides) under Homo sapiens (human). RNAcentral's name for it is "long independently transcribed non-coding RNA 2700, transcript variant 24 (LINC02700)". Lineage: Eukaryota; Metazoa; Chordata; Mammalia; Primates; Hominidae. The record is from RNAcentral.